RNAcentral lists this ribosomal RNA (301 nucleotides) under uncultured bacterium. Its description in RNAcentral is "partial 16S ribosomal RNA". It matches the Rfam family "Bacterial small subunit ribosomal RNA", at positions 509 to 807 of the family's 1533-position model. The record is from RNAcentral.
CAGUAGCCGCGGUAAUACGUAGGGUGCGAGCGUUAAUCGGAAUUACUGGGCGUAAAGCGUGCGCAGGCGGUUGUGUAAGACAGGUGUGAAAUCCCCGGGCUUAACCUGGGAACUGCGCUUGUGACUGCACAGCUAGAGUAUGGCAGAGGGGGGUGGAAUUCCACGUGUAGCAGUGAGAUGCGUAGAGAUGUGGAGGAACACCGAUGGCGAAGGCAGCCCCCUGGGCCAAUACUGACGCUCAUGCACGAAAGCGUGGGGAGCAAACAGGAUUAGAUACCCCUGUAGUCCCUGUCUCUUAUAC